AGCAGCCGCGGUAAUUCCAGCUCCAAUAGCGUAUAUUAAAGUUGUUGAAGUUAAAAAGCUCGUAGUUGAAUUUCGGGAUCAGUUGAUCGGUCGUGCCUCGGUACGUACUGGUCAAAUUGAUUCCUACCUUCUGACGAACCACGAUGUCAUUAAUUUGGUGUCGUGGGAAAUCAGGACUGUUACUUUGAAAAAUUAGAGUGUUUAAAGCAGGCUCGCGCUUGAAUACAUUAGCAUGGAAUAAUGAAAUAGGACGUUUGAUUCUAUUUUGUUGGUUUCUAGGAUCGACGUAAUGAUUAAUAGGGAUAGUUGGGGGCAUUAGUAUUCAAUUGUCAGAGGUGAAAUUCUUGGAUUUAUUGAAGACUAACUACUGCGAAAGCAUUUGCCAAGGAUGUUUUCAUUAAUCAAGAACGAAAGUUAGGGGAUCGAAGACGAUCAGAUACCGUCGUAGUCUUAACCAUAAACUAUGCCGACUAGGGAUCGGAUGAUGUUAAUUUUUAAUGUACUCAUUCGGCGCCUUACG
This 520-nucleotide unclassified non-coding RNA is filed under the name uncultured Glomus. Its description in RNAcentral is "SSU rRNA". It matches the Rfam family "Eukaryotic small subunit ribosomal RNA", at positions 569 to 1092 of the family's 1831-position model. The record is from RNAcentral. Lineage: Eukaryota; Fungi; Glomeromycota; Glomeromycetes; Glomerales; Glomeraceae.